Molecule: long non-coding RNA, 1990 nt
Filed under: Canis lupus familiaris (dog)
Lineage: Eukaryota; Metazoa; Chordata; Mammalia; Carnivora; Canidae
Description: lncRNA (ENSCAFG00030014357.1)
Source: RNAcentral
AUAAUAAUAGUAAUAAUAAUAAUAAGUAAUGUAUAACAAAGCAUGCACACUGAAGCCAUCUUUAAGGAUGGGCAGCACUGGGCAGCCUCAAGGGUAUUUUAGGGUUCUUAGGUUCCCCUAUAGAAUAAAGACAGUGAAACCCUAGUACAUGGCUGGCUGCUCCUCUCUUCACAGUGCUGUUCCUGCCUUGGGCUAAGAGGGCCUGGGCUGCCACCUGAGCAUCUCAGUGCGAGUGUAGGAAAGAUAAAUGUGAGGCUGUCUUGGUGGGGUGACUCCCUCCUCACUUAACUGAGGGGCUCAUGAGGUAGGAGAAGGACUUAUGGGGGUCCCAGUGGUUUAUGACAGUGGAGGUCACAGAAAGGGGACCACUGGGCCUAAAAAUAUACCCCCUCACCCCAUCGUAUCACUGAUACCCCAAAUUCCAUGAUCUGAAGGCAGAUCAUUCUUUACUGACUUCUGGGUUAACCAGGAUGCAUUCUUAUCUUAACAACUACCUCUUUAUCUUUGCAGAUGGAAGCUGGAGUGACCGCUACCAACAAUAUGCAUUCCUAAGGUGGUCAGAUGGAGUGUGGGGCCUGAGUGAGGGAUGGAGCCCCAGGCAGGAGGUAUCCCAUCAUGGGGAGAAUCUGUUAUCUGAGAAAGCCAAGGCUUCCUGUCGGGCUCGCUCCCCUUGGGCCAAUGCCUGGUGUGGACAAAGGAAGAUGAUGGAAGAAGAGCCACAGUGAGCCUGCGCAGAAUGCUUCCCACGAGCCAAAGAGCUUUCCGUGGAUUAUUCACCGAAGCCUCAGAGCAACUCUAUGAGGUCAGUGCUAUUAGUAUCAUCUUUCUCAUUUUAGAGAUGAGGUAAUGAGGCUCAGUGAGCUGGCAUGAGUUGCUCAAGGUCACAGAGCUAGUGAGGCACGGAGCCGGAUUCACACCCAGGCCGGCCCUUGCUCUGAACCGGUCUGCUCCAGCAGUCCGUGGAAGGGCACAGAGGUCACUGGAGCUGGGGGUGGGGUGGGCUUGGGGGACAGUGUUCAGACUCUAGUCCCGACUUUGCUCCAUGUCAUGUGGCAAUUCAGAACAAGUCCAUCUGCCACUCAUCGAUUCAUUGAAUAUUGAUCAAAUGCCUCCCCUUCGAGGGCCAGAGCACAGGGAAGUCAUGUCUCACAUGAAGAGCUGCACAUGGCAACUGUGACAAACACUAUAAGCACAUCUUCUGGGUUACAGAGGGUAGGUGGUUUAUGGAGCAAGGCGGAGGAGGGGGUGACACUGACUGUAGGAGACAGGGGUGGGGUUCUGGAAAGUUGUGGCCUUGAAAGAGAAAGAUGCUUGCCAAGGCAUUCCCGGACAGGCAUGUCUGUGAGAGCAAAGGUAUGAAGAUGGCCUAGAGUGUUUCAGCACCUUCUGGUUGUCCCUAUGGGUGGAGUAGAAUUUCACAAAGUGUGGACUUGGACCUGCAAUUAGAACCUACAUGAGGGGGCACCUGGGUGGUUGAGCAUCUGCCUUUGGCUCAGGUCAUGAUCCCGGGGUCCUGGGAUUGAGUCCUGCAUCAGGCUCCCCAUGGGGAGCCUGCUUCUCCCUCUGCCUAUGUCUCUACCUCUCUCCUUGUGUCUCUCAUGAAUAAAUAAAUAAAAUCUUUAGGAAAAAAGAAAAAGAACCUGCAUGAGAACCAGCUGGGUGGGCAGUGAGUGUUAGAAUGCAGAUUCCAGUGAUGGAUGGACUUGGCCUACCUUAGUCUGAGCAUUGUCUGUUGGCUUCUGGUUUACACUAUUACCCAUCAGCCAAGUGGACAAGGACUGGAGGGGACAGAAGUGAGGGGAGCAAAGCCAAUACUGUGUCCAUGGAGUGAGGAGAGCGUGAGUUAGGGCUACAGAGUUUCCAGAGGGGCCCAGAAUGUUAAGAGGUGCUUGGUUGGAGUAAAGGACAGACGGGACCAGAGCUUGGACAGGAAAGGUAAGGCAGAGCACGGAAUCAAGGAUAACUGAACCGUUGGCUUGUGCUAUUGGGU